GCGGCGACACGAUGUGUUGUGGCGGCGGAGGAACACGCUUUAUGGAAUGGAGUUAUGAGGCUGAGCUCAAUAGAUGUGCGAGAGAAGUUGAAUGAGUAAGCUUGAAGCUUGAGUAGUGUCCAGUCACCGGAGGAGAGUGGCCGCCGUGAAGGUUGGGUGGAAGGGAGCUAGGGAAUGAGUGGUACAACUACUGAGUCAGACUGGGGAGCGUAUACGGUUGACACAUCCUUCGUGUGUUACCUUCCGCAACUGUAAAUGCGAGAAGAAUCAAAAUUUUAAGAUCAAUCUUUAGAACACUUAAUAAAAGGAACAAAUACAAACAAAAAUCAGGGCUGUUGCCUGCAAGGUGGGACCCCGAGCUCCAUUUUCAUCUUCAUCGUCACUAUCAUCUUCACUAUCACUAUCCUCGCCAUCCUCAUCACCUUCAUGUUUAGGCACCAGCUCACGUCUCUUCCCAGUAAUAUUUGAAACUUUAAAUAUUCCAAUAGAAUUCCAGGAAGCUUUCUCCGCCUUGAGUGCAUCCAACAUAACAACAAUAUGACAUUGUCAAACAACGGAAGCAAAAAUGAAAAUAGAUAGAAGAUACAAAAUAAUUAAUAAUAAUAAUAAUAAUAAAGAGAAAUACCCUCCUAAAUGUUAGUAAAUACAUAGCUUGAUAUCAACUUCUAUAAUCCCCGUUUCAAAAUUGAAAAUGUUAAUUCAUAAUAAAAACAUCAACUUGAUUAAUUGAAAAUGUUAAUUCAUAAUAAAAACACUCACCUGAGUCCCUGCCAUGAAAUAUACUGUGUGGGGAAAUUCUGUUCGAACUAAACCCAGAGUGUCUCGUACAAUAUCAAAGCUGUUUAAACAUAUUCAUAGCUUUAGAUUAUUGAAACUAAGCAGAAAUUAGAACAAGUUUCCAAAAAGGCAGCAUCGAGUUUCCCUCGGAAUUACAAUGCUGACGACAAAGCAAACCAACUCUACUCAACACGCCUUUGAUCAUAGUGUAACACUAUGUCCAUCGACAACAAAUGGGUUUUGUUUCAUAUAAAUUGCAAACGGAUUACAAAACCAAAAGUAUGAGAGGAAAAAGGAUCAAUGCUCAUUCAAAUUUUACCUCAAACAGGGCCAUCCGAUGUGAAAGGCAUGAAGAGAGUUGUAAGCAGAAGGAUCACACUGGAGUUCCUCACCUUCCUCCAACUUGUCCACACCAGGUUGCCACACCUUCACCGGAUGUUGCGGCGGCACCGAAGAAGACCCUUCCCCUUUCUUCGAACCCUGAAUUUAUUUUAGUUCCACACAAAUCCAGAAAAAACGAAAAUGAGAUAGAUACAGCUACAAAAGAAGCAGAGAGUAAAUCGAGGUUGUGGAAGAGGGUUAACUAGGCCACAAGAUUGAACCUUGUUCUUUCUCUUGGCUUUCAUACGGUGUUUUAUCCCGCGAGUCAUCUUCAAAUUAGUUCAGAUUCUUCUUCAGAGUUGAGAAACUGAUGCAAAAUCGACAAGCCAAUGAAUUACAAAAGGAAAACCAUAUAUAAUAACUCGAAUCGUAUUCAGACUAAUUUUCGAAACAACUCAAACUAUAUUAUAUUAUAAUAGCUCAAGCUCAAACAACAAAAAAACACCUAGCACAAACACAUACAUAUACCAAUUCACAAUUUGGUAGCCAUUUUCAACUGUGACAGAAAAGGAAGGGAUAGGAAGAGAUACCUGUUGGUGUACCAAUCCAAUAGACGGCGGCGACACGAUGUGUUGUGGCGGCGGAGGAACACGCUUUAUGGAAUGGAGUUAUGAGGCUGAGCUCAAUAGAUGUGCGAGAGAAGUUGAAUGAGUAAGCUUGAAGCUUGAGUAGUGUCCAGUCACCGGAGGAGAGUGGCCGCCGUGAAGGUUGGGUGGAAGGGAGCUAGGGAAUGAGUGGUACAACUACUGAGUCAGACUGGCAGUGAGUGCGGUGCCCCAAUUCCCUAAAACCCCUAACUUGCUUGCUUACUUUCUCCCAACCGGGCUCGGCCCAGCCCA
Molecule: long non-coding RNA, 1997 nt
Filed under: Arachis ipaensis
Lineage: Eukaryota; Viridiplantae; Streptophyta; Magnoliopsida; Fabales; Fabaceae
Description: long non-coding RNA (AIPA_LNC000260)
Source: RNAcentral